AUACGGAAGGUCCGGGCGUUAUCCGGAUUUAUUGGGUUUAAAGGGAGCGCAGGCGGAGAUGCAAGCGUGACGUCAAAUUUCGGGGCUCAACCCCGUCUCGCGUCGCGAACUGCGUCCCUUGGUUGCGGGAAGGGGAGGCGGAACUCGUGGUGUAGCGGUGAAAUGCAUAGAUAUCACGAAGAACUCCGAUCGCGAAGGCAGCCUUCCGGCCCGUCAACGACGCUCAUGCUCGCAGGUGCGGGUAGCAAACAGGAUUAGAUUCCCUGGUAGUCCGCACAGUAAACGAUGGACACCCGCGGUUUGGCCUGUAUGGCUGAGCCGCCAAGCGAAAGCGUUAAGUGUCCCACCUGGGGAGUACGCCGGCAACGGUGAAACUUAAAGGAAUUGGCGGGG
This 393-nucleotide ribosomal RNA is filed under the name uncultured bacterium. RNAcentral's name for it is "partial 16S ribosomal RNA". It matches the Rfam family "Bacterial small subunit ribosomal RNA", at positions 523 to 918 of the family's 1533-position model. The record is from RNAcentral.